GACUGAAAAGGUGAGCCAAGACCAGUAUAUCUAAAUAUAAAGAAGAAAUCAAUUUGACUUUUUUUACAGUAAAAAUCCAAAACCUUCAAAAGUACCAAGUUGUAUAAGUAGCUAAAUUCUUACUCCACAUUUCUUUUCCGGAUUUUGCCGAUGUAUUGGAUCCUGGCAUCACAAAAGUGUGCAGUGUAUGUCCACCAACUACCAAACGUAUUAGGGCAGAUAGCAUCAAUUUGGGAGAAAAGCUGUUAUUGACUUACCUCUACUGGUUUGGAAAGCGAUGGGGUUCCUGAGAGAAGAAUACGCCUGUUGGCACUCCUGAUCAGAGGACUGAUAGCUUUACAGGAGGCUGUCUUAAUGUUUCUUAUGUAGUGGGACUCGUCUACUAUCACUACCUGAAAACUCUGAUUGGAUUUACAAGAUUGAUCACUGUUUGCUAUCUUCACCUUUCAUAAAUGCAGCUAGACAACUCGUGCCUCCAGAGAUGUUGACUAUGUAU
Long non-coding RNA from Ostrea edulis (European flat oyster), 496 nucleotides. RefSeq lists it as uncharacterized. The record is from RefSeq and is a predicted model, not a curated record. NCBI's taxonomy places the organism in Eukaryota, Metazoa, Mollusca, Bivalvia, Ostreida, Ostreidae. The transcript is spliced from 3 exons.